AUAAUAAUGAAAUGGAUACACUUUUGACGCAUAGGAUCCGUACUCUCAUUUUGGAGUCAACCACAACAGGGCAGCAUCAAAAUUCAAGAUGUCGAACACGCCACAGUCAAGAGUCAGAGAUUAUCCAACAAAUAGUCGUUUAUUUGUAAUUUGCGGUAAAGGUGCAGAUGAAAAUGCGUUCAAGGAAGCCUUUGGAAAGUAUGGCACUGUUGAAGAUGUCUGGGUUGUCAAAGAUAGGCGCACAAAUGAAGAUAAAGGUGUUGUCUAUGUCAAGAUGGAGAAAACUUCAGAGGCAGCUUUAGCCAUGGAAGAAUUGAAUGGGAGAAAAAUUGAUAAUCAUCAGGGUACACUUAAAGUUGUUGUGGCUAGUAAUAAAGCUGAAGGGUCAAAUAGAGAUGCAAGAGAAGAUGAAAAAACUCUACGACUUUUUGUUCUCAUCCCCAAAACUUUUACAGAAGCCGAUUUACGAAAAGAGUUUGAGCAAUUUGGUGACAUAGAAUUUUGUAAUGUUGUCAUAGAUCGUAAUACAGGAGAAAAUAAGGGCUUUGGUUAUGUAAAAUACAAGAGACCAUAUCAUGCAGCUCUUGCAUUUGAAAGCUGUAAUCCCACUUUUAAACCAAAAUUUGCUGAUCCACCAAAAUCAAAAACAGAAAGAGAAAAUCGAGAGCUUUAUGGUGAUCAGCGUCGUGAUAGAUCAUCAGAUAGAUAUGGAGGUGGUAGUAAUCUUGGAGCUUCUAUGAUGGACAGAUCACCAAGAAAUAGGGGUAUGAAAAGAGGGUUUGAUGAAGAAUUGGGAUAUGGUUUUAUGCAUGAAUCCAAUCAAAGGCAAUCAGGACCUAGAGGAGGAGAUAUUAUGGACAUGUUACAAUCCUACCCAACAGCUAGUCAUCAAACUAGAUUACAGAUUAUUACGGCACCUGGUCUCAGUAACUCAUAUCUGGCAAAACUAACUAACCUCGUACCAGGGUUAGAGUACUGUGACCUCAAUGAAGUUACAGGAGUAGCCCAUGUGCGUUAUUCAAAUUCACAAUGUGCUGCAUAUGCUCGAGAUAAAUUAGAUGGUUUUGAAUAUCCAAUUGGUAGUCGAUUGAUGGUGCGCUAUCCAGAAGAAGGGUCAGAUUAUGGUAGUAGUCGAGGAGGAGGAGGAGGAAUGGCAGGCAUGUUUCAAGGAAAUGACAGAUAUGCCAUUGAUGAUAGGAUGAGUGGAUUAGGAGGUGGAGGUGGUGAUGAUAGUAGAGAAAGGGUACAAUAUUGUAAUAUACCCCUUCCUUUACCUCAACCAUUACGUACCGAAGACACACCAGUAGCACAAAGAUUAUUCAUAGUAUGUCAGCCAGCAGCUGUUACAGAACGAGUUUUACGAGAUGCUUUCUGUCGAUUUGGUAACCUGAUUGAUGUUUAUCUCCUGGCAGGUAGAAAUUAUGGCUAUGCUAAAUAUGCCAAAAAGGAAAAUGCAAUGAGAGCUAUUCAGAAUUUACAUGGUCAAAAUCUGGCUGGACAAAGAGUUAAAGUUUUGGAAGCUGAACCUCCAAAAUCAGGAGAGGGAGAUGAUUUUAUCAAUAAAAAAGCAAGAUAUUAAAAAAAUAUGUAUAAGAAAGGUGCAUAUUUGGUAAGUUGAAUGGAGCUGAUAAAAAAAAGAGUUUAUUUACAAGCAAAUGUGGACUGAAGAGCUGGACAAUUAACUAAAUAUGACAGCAGAAACUUCACCUAAAGUUUUGUUAUUUUGUGUCCUCAAAGUUUAAGCAAAGUUGAGCACAUGUCCAGGACAACAACAAUUUGCAGAAUCAAAAGUACUAUAAACAGUUUUAUGUCACUUUCUCCUUCAAUAAUUACUUGUAGAUGUUUUAAUUUUGCAAGAAUUGUAAUGGGAAACAUUCAAGCUUUCAGUGGUAGUCUGUCUCAAGAUCAACAUCCUCUGAACACACAGAUGAAAUUAAUGUGUGCACAAAUAUUCUGGUUCUCUGAUACGGUCGUAAAUUUUUAUACAAUCUUACUUAUUUUUUUUUAUGGUUUUAAAACAUUCUGAUUGUCAAUAAGUUUUAUUAGGCAUGAGAGAUAAGCUGUGCAAAAAUUAUCGUAAAACAAAUUCAAUUUUACAUUUGUACAAACAACUUGCACACAUACUAUGGUCACAGUUAUAAAAUUUGCACACUAAUCACUAAAAAUAGAUUACAUCUCAACACGUUGGCUAAUUAUUAGUUGACUUCGCAUAUAAUCAGGUGAAACUGAGUGACAUAUGUUGUACAUCUAGUUACAAUAUUAGCUUCAUAUUAAUCCAUUGUAUCUUAACCAAUCAAUUUAUCUGUGGAUUUAACUUGUAUGUUUAUCAUCAAUAUCUUGCAAACAAACUAGACAUCUUAAGCUUUGAACUGGACUGAGAUACUGAUAAUAAUAAUUUAUAGAGAUUAUAAAAUAAAUAUUUUUUACUUUAAAAUACACAAAAUCAAAUUCCCAGAACAUCAGUUGUCACCAAUUUGCACCAAAGUAAAGUUAUUUGUGUAGAUAUUUGGCAUCUAUUGUAUAGAUGGUUAUGAAAACAAUCUGUCGCACCUCCAUUUAUAUCAAGCUGAUAUUGUUGAAGUACUCAUGAUACAACUUCCAAAUUUGGCAGGAAUUUUCAUGAAUGAAAUGAUGUGUAAAAUUUAAACACAAAUUUGUGAUAACUGUAUACUUUCAAAGUGUACUUUAAGUCAUGUUUCAUUAAAAAGUGUACCAUAGGUUCCCGAUCCAAACUGAAUUAUGAAAUUCCUAUUCCUCUUACAAAAUCACUGAUACCUAUUCUUCCAAAAUAUAUUUUUAAAAAAAAACUUUUAUUGAAUAUUAUGCCUAACAUACUGAGAAUUUUUAAAUUAGUAUCACUCUAGAUGAAAUUAUAUCAAAUGCAAAUGGUCCACAUUAAAAUUCAUAUAAAUAGCAAUCUCUAGAAUAGGUAGAAUAUACUUGAAUUAUGUUAAAACAGUAUUUUAAAAGCAUGUACUAAUGUUACCGAUGGACAGACUUUUUGUACAAUCAAAACAGUUUGAACUACGAAGGCAUAAAUAAAAAAAAAACAUACAAUAGAACUAAUGAAAUUUUACAUGGCACGCAAAAUAUUGUGAAAUGAUAAAUAAUGUACAAUAUUUCCAUGUAAUACCUGAAUGCUAUUUGGAUUCAUAUGUGGCCAUUUUAACAGUUUCAAAUGUUCAACUAUAUAUACAAAUGGGCCUUAAAACUCUCUGUUAAUUAAAGAAAAUCAGGGGUGUGUGCAGAAAAAUGAUCGAGGGUGUUUGUGUCCCCCUAAUCAGGUGUGACUGACUGCAGAGCCUGGGGCAGGGGUCUCCUCCCAAAAAAGUUUCCAAGUCCAUUUCUCAGUCAUAAGUGGUCUCUUGUAUAGACUCUCUCUACCUUGAUCGACAUUUGUCUGAGGCAUUUUGGGACUAACAUAAUAUGGUACAAUUUUAUUUCAAUCAUUUGCUUGCACGUAGGGGUCUGUAGCAUCUACAGCAUUUUCAUGCCAAUAAAUGAAUAAAACCUAUUUAUCCAUCUCUUGAUUCAAAUUGCAAUCUUACGACUGAUUAACACCAGGCGCGUCACAUCAAACUUAAGGGUUCAAACUGGUAAUGGAUGCGUGAUCCCCUCUGUAUUAAAUGUGGAUCUUUUAAGCAACCAAUAACAUCAAUUGGCUCAAUCAGAUAGUCUGCAUUAAGCAAACACCAUGUAUUUAUUGUAAUUUCUUUGUAAUAUUGAACUGAAAGUUGGUCUUCUGGAAUGGAAUGAUAAGGUAAAUUUCGAGUAGAUAUUACUAUAUCAGUCAUCAGUAAUGCAAGUAUCCUUGUAACUGACCAUUUGUGACAAUUUGCUUUGUGACCUAUUUUUAUCGACAAAUACAAUAAAGUCACUUAAUACAACACAAUCACAUUAUCGGUGAUUUUUUCGAUGAUUUAAGUUGGCUACAGUUCUCUCUAUUAUUUGGAAUGAAUAUUGUAGAAAUGAGACCUCCUUUUCUAGCUACACCACUUUUUUGUACAAUCGGCUCUGAUGGUCCACUGAAACAUUGCUAUCUGCAUGAACUGGUAUAGGAAUGUUGGUAUCUGGUUGUUUUGGGGUUUUUUGUAAACAAUAUUUUAUUUCAUUUGAAAAUGGAAUGGAGAACAGGCUGGGCCUAUGUUGACUCCUCUCCAGGUUGGUAUCUGUUGUUGUUGUCGUACAUAUAGUAAUAGAAUCUUCACUUUUUGUAGCAGAUGCUUCACUUUUUAUACACCCACAUUGAAAUGUGGUCGUAUAUUGUCUUCGCCCCAGUCCGUGGGUCAGUCCGACUAAAGAUUAAUACACAGAGUUUAAGGUCUUGAGACGAACAAGUAUAUUGAUUUUCAAUGAAUUUUGAUAACUUGAACAGCUAAAUCCAUGAUAUUAAAUGUUUCAUAUACUAAACGUUAGCAUAGGGCAGAACUUUAUAAAAACCAAACGAAUUCUAAUGAUUUUCUGAUAAUUACUUAAUGGGUUGUCACUCUUAAUCAGAUUUUAGUGUAUUAUAAAUGUUUAAUUACCGAAAAAUAAAAAUAUGCGACAACUCUGUGGGUGUAUGUUUUUCGUUGCCUGGCAACCUAUCUUUAGUUUAAUGUAUAUGCCUACUAAAUCUCGGAUAUCUCUAAAAUACUUACCUCUCCACGAUACACAUUUUUCCAGUGGAAGACAAAGAACAGUUCAUGUUAGAUAAAAGGUUAUGAAAACAAAUUUAUCUCCAUUACUCUCAAACACGUGUAAUUGUUUGAACAUUUUCUCCCCCUCAAUUUCUGUAAUAAUAGUGAGAUCUUUCUCACACACUUCUUUUGUGAAUUUGAGCCACACCGAAAUAUCAUUUGUUGGCACAAGCCAUUCAACAUCACAUACAUGUACUUUGUGAAACCAGCCAUUUCCAACUUUUAUUAAUUGAUUAUGAAAGAUUGGAGUAUCAGCCAAAGUCUUCACUUGUGAUAUAUUCUGAGCAAAUAGACAGUUUUGUCUCUUGCUAUUUUUAGUAGAUCUGCUGUUAUUGUUAACUUUACUAUCGAUUUCACAUUCAGGUUUGUGAUUGUCAUUUUGGCACCAUUCUUCCUUUCCUUUUGUUGGUUCUAUUUGACUUUGAUCACUUUCACUAAAUUCUCUCCAAUUUCUUCCAUUUUGAACAUAGAAAUCUUAUAAAAACAUAACACUUAUAUAACACAUAAUAAAAUACUCCUUUCCGCUUCAGAAUUGCACUUAAACAUUUGGUUAGAUGGUGUAGAGAACAAAAAAAUCACGUCUUUUCUGGUAGUGAAAAGAAUUUGCAGCCAUCUUGCAUGAGCCAAAACGAAAUAUUAAAAUAACGCUAAUGUUUCACGAAAACUGGACAGACACACAUUGAUUUUUAAAACCAUUUUCCUGCAAUGUUUAAAUGGCAUACAAUAAAACAAAUACAGCCAUUCCCGAAAGGGACAAAUUAAUUCUAUGUGACAUAAAAAUACAAAGUUAAGACAAAUAUAAGACCACUUGAUUAAUGUAGUGGAUGGACAGAUCAGUCAAAUUUUCACUGGGGUUUGAACAAUUCAGUUUUCAGAUCUUUUAUUUUUCUCAUCAGUAUAUUUUUAAGUCUGUUUUAAAGAAGGCACUCUAACCAAUAUAAUUAUGCAAAAACUAAUUAAAAAUUCUAAAACAAAUGUUAUUUCAAAGCAUUCUAAAAUCUUGGUAAAAAGUAUCUGUCUUAAAUGAUGUACAUGUAAUUUAUUAAAAUAUUUGUAAUUUAUUUUUAUCAAAAAAUAUAUCAAUAAACCUGGUUUUAAGUAUUUUAUAUGUUCAAUAAUAUAUGCUGGUUUUGAAGAUAAGAAAAAUAUUUCAAAACUCUUUUUCCUUUUUCUAAAAAACCAAUACAUUUGUUUGAUACCUACGGAUACACUUUAUAAUAAAACGUGCCUUAAACUCUGAUAAACAAAGAAAUAGAACAGUGUGUACUACAAAUGGACUACAAAUGAUACCUUAUUCCAUGUAAACAAAUUUUACACUGUUUGAUAGAGAUGCAUGGAAAGUGAUGUAAGUUCUCAGUAAACAAAUAUCAUUUCAGAAUAUAACUUGGAAAGUGGGUAAUUGAUGUCUAAACAAAUCAUAUAAGGGUUUUGCCUAAUUGUAUUAAAUGAUUAGAUCACUGUUAGAUAUUCCAACCUCGUGGGUUUUCUCCGGGUCCUCCGGUUUCCUCCCACUGCUAAAGACCCCUACGCGCAAGCGAAUUAUGUAAAUAAAAUUAAACCAUAUGUUAGUCCCGAAAUGACCUAGUUUGUGUCGAGUGGACGUUAAACCCCAUUUCUCUCUCUCUCUCUGUUAGAUAUUAUUUUCCUUUUUCUGAAUUUAAAUUAUACUUGUAUGUGGAUUUAUUUUUGCAAGUGGAAAAUGAUUGUAAUCUAGACUGUCUUCAUGCUUCAAUAAAAUUUAUCAUUAGUGA
RNA transcript from Patella vulgata (common limpet), 6430 nucleotides. It is a transcript of the gene named RNA-binding protein 45, with no coding region annotated. The record is from RefSeq and is a predicted model, not a curated record. Lineage: Eukaryota; Metazoa; Mollusca; Gastropoda; Patellidae. The transcript has 14 exons.